CGUAGCUCAAUCUGGUAGAGCAACGGACUCUUAAUCCGUGAGUUGGGGGUUCGAGUCCCCCCGG
Molecule: transfer RNA, 64 nt
Filed under: uncultured Salinibacter sp.
Lineage: Bacteria; Pseudomonadati; Rhodothermota; Rhodothermia; Rhodothermales; Salinibacteraceae
Rfam family: tRNA
About the family: Transfer RNA (tRNA) molecules are approximately 80 nucleotides in length. Their secondary structure includes four short double-helical elements and three loops (D, anti-codon, and T loops).
Source: RNAcentral